Long non-coding RNA from Musa acuminata subsp. malaccensis (wild Malaysian banana), 583 nucleotides. RefSeq lists it as uncharacterized. NCBI's taxonomy places the organism in Eukaryota, Viridiplantae, Streptophyta, Magnoliopsida, Zingiberales, Musaceae. The record is from RefSeq and is a predicted model, not a curated record.
CUUUUUCUCUUUGACUUCCAAUUGAAGGCUUCGGAGGGGCUUCGGGGAGCUCCAGGGUUGCUUCGUUUCCUUCCCCGAUCCGCGUCUCUUCCGGUCAGAGUAUAAAGCUGCGGUUUUGAGAGGGAAAUGGGCAAUCAUCAUCACCACCACCAUCACCAUGAAAGUGUUAGUCCAUAUGAUGAUCCCUUCUUGGCCUGCUGUUGCUGCCCAUGCUUUCUGGUGAGCUCCAUUUUGAGGGGGUUUGGGAGUUGCAUCUUGAUGGCCUGCUACCCCAUCUUCCGAUGCCUUGGCUUAGAUGAGUACAGUCAUCGCCACCACCAUCACCACCACAGUCAUUUCCAUUGAUCUACUGGACCAGUUAAUAUACCCCUCCGUGAUUUGAUUUGUAUGCUUGAUAUGUUGCAUGACUUGGUGUCUAGCGUUAAGCUUCCUGUGUGCUCAUUGUUUUGACUGUGAAGCUGGGAUUGCAUGGGAGAUACACAUGCUUCGGUAUUAAUCAAAUUGGCAUUCUGAGCACUUUGGGUGCACUGUGGACCUUGAUGUUUUCUUUUAAUUUAAGAUUUAUUGCAUUUUGACAAUACCA